RNAcentral lists this ribosomal RNA (408 nucleotides) under uncultured microorganism. Its description in RNAcentral is "bacterial SSU rRNA". It matches the Rfam family "Archaeal small subunit ribosomal RNA", at positions 330 to 745 of the family's 1478-position model. The record is from RNAcentral.
GUGCAGCAGGCGAGAAACUUUACAAUGUGCGAAAGCACGAUAAGGGAACUCUGAGUGCCUCCUAAGGAGGCUGUUCAGGUGUCUAAAAGCACCUGAAGGAAGGGCUGGGUAAGACCGGUGCCAGCCGCCGCGGUAACACCGGCAGCCCAAGUGGUAGCCACGUUUAUUGGGUCUAAAGCGUCCGUAGCCGGCUGGGUAAGUUCCUUGGGAAAUUUGGCUGCUUAACAGUCAAGCUUUCAGGGAAUACUGCCCGGCUUGGGACCGGGAGAGGUCAGAGGUACUCCAGGGGUAGGGGUGAAAUCCAUUAAUCCUUGGGGGACCACCGGUAGCGAAGGCGUCUGACCAGACCGGGUCCGACGGUGAGGGACGAAGGCUAGGGGCGCGAACCGGAUUAGAUACCCCGGUAGU